UGACCUUUAGUACGGCGAGUGAAGCGGCAAAAGCUCAAAUUUGAAAUCUGGUACCUUCGGUGCCCGAGUUGUAAUUUGGAGAGGGCAACUUUGGGGCCGUUCCUUGUCUAUGUUCCUUGGAACAGGACGUCAUAGAGGGUGAGAAUCCCGUGUGGCGAGGAGUGCGGUUCUUUGUAAAGUGCCUUCGAAGAGUCGAGUUGUUUGGGAAUGCAGCUCUAAGUGGGUGGUAAAUUCCAUCUAAAGCUAAAUAUUGGCGAGAGACCGAUAGCGAACAAGUACAGUGAUGGAAAGAUGAAAAGAACUUUGAAAAGAGAGUGAAAAAGUACGUGAAAUUGUUGAAAGGGAAGGGCAUUUGAUCAGACAUGGUGUUUUGUGCCCUCUGCUCCUUGUGGGUAGGGGAAUCUCGCAUUUCACUGGGCCAGCAUCAGUUUUGGUGGCAGGAUAAAUCCAUAGGAAUGUAGCUUGCCUCGGUAAGUAUUAUAGCCUGUGGGAAUACUGCCAGCUGGGACUGAGGACUGCGACGUAAGUCAAGGAUGCUGGCAUAAUGGUUAUAUGCCGCCCGUCUUGAACCCCCGAAACACA
RNAcentral lists this ribosomal RNA (582 nucleotides) under Saccharomyces cerevisiae (brewer's yeast). RNAcentral describes it as "partial large subunit ribosomal RNA". It matches the Rfam family "Eukaryotic large subunit ribosomal RNA", at positions 72 to 664 of the family's 3401-position model. Lineage: Eukaryota; Fungi; Ascomycota; Saccharomycetes; Saccharomycetales; Saccharomycetaceae. The record is from RNAcentral.